UUUGAUUCAACGUAAAAUCAUGAAAAAUAAUUUUUUUAUAGAAAAAAAAAAUUCUAGUGGAAUUUUUUAAAAAGUUUUGUAAUAUUUGGUUUGUAGGAAAACAAUACAGUUUUCUAUCAAUAUUUAUUUUUUUGAAAGAAAAAAAAAUUUACACCGACCGUCUCUAGAGCAAGUGGAAAAAGGUUUGAUGGUUGGUACCCGAGGUCCCAAUUCAAAUCCUAGUUGAUUCACAUUUAUAGCUAAGUUUAUUUCUAAUGAAAUAAACGAAGCAGGUAGCGUGCUACUCAUCUUUCUUUAAAAAAAAAAAAAGAAAAAAAUUUGCAUCUGUUUGGUUUAGUGAAAAAAUAAAUGAAAAAGUUUUAUGUAAUUUGAAUUUUUGUUUUUUUUGCCAAAAAACAGUGAAAAAUGAUUUUUGUUUUUUUCGCGAAAAUACUUCUACGGAAAGAAUAAUUUUAGGUCCAACUAAACAAGUGAAAAAAAUAUUUUUUUUAUACCGAAAAUAAUUGUUUGAUUU
This 514-nucleotide long non-coding RNA is filed under the name Ananas comosus (pineapple). RNAcentral's name for it is "long non-coding RNA (ACOM_LNC004224)". Lineage: Eukaryota; Viridiplantae; Streptophyta; Magnoliopsida; Poales; Bromeliaceae. The record is from RNAcentral.